Molecule: ribosomal RNA, 253 nt
Filed under: uncultured bacterium
Lineage: Bacteria
Description: partial 16S ribosomal RNA
Rfam family: Bacterial small subunit ribosomal RNA
Source: RNAcentral
UACGUAGGAGACGAGCGUUGUCCGGAAUCACUGGGCGUAAAGCGCGUGUAGGCGGAUCGGCAAGUCUGCUGUGAAAGCUCCUGGCUUAACCGGGAGUGGUCGGUGGAAACUGCCAGUCUGGAGGACGGUAGAGGUAGGUAGAAUUCCCGGUGUAGUGGUGAAAUGCGUAGAGAUCGGGAGGAAUACCUGUGGCGAAGGCGGCCUACUGGGCCGGACCUGACGCUGAGACGCGAAGGCGUGGGGAGCGAACGGG